UACGAACUGCGCGAACGUUAUUCGGAAUCACUGGGCUUACAGGGUGCGUAGGCGGCUUUUCAGGUCCGAUGUGAAAUCCCACAGUUCAACUGUGGAAUGGCAUUGGAAACCGGAUCGCUGGAGUGAGCUAGAGGUGCACGGAACUUUCGGUGGAGCGGUGAAGUGUGUUGAGAUCGGAAGGAACACCAGAGGCGAAGGCGGUGCACUGGGGCUUGUCUGACGCUGAGGCACGAAAGCCAGGGGAGCGAACGGG
Molecule: ribosomal RNA, 253 nt
Filed under: uncultured bacterium
Lineage: Bacteria
Description: partial 16S ribosomal RNA
Rfam family: Bacterial small subunit ribosomal RNA
Source: RNAcentral